RNAcentral lists this transfer RNA (75 nucleotides) under Herpetosiphonaceae bacterium. RNAcentral describes it as "tRNA-Trp". It matches the Rfam family "tRNA". Rfam says of the family: Transfer RNA (tRNA) molecules are approximately 80 nucleotides in length. The record is from RNAcentral. Lineage: Bacteria; Bacillati; Chloroflexota; Chloroflexia; Herpetosiphonales; Herpetosiphonaceae.
AGGGGUGUAGGCUAAUUGGCAAACUGCUGGUCUCCAAAACCGGAUUUCAGGGUUCGAGUCCCUGCACCCCUGCCA